This 496-nucleotide ribosomal RNA is filed under the name uncultured bacterium. Its description in RNAcentral is "partial 16S ribosomal RNA". It matches the Rfam family "Bacterial small subunit ribosomal RNA", at positions 28 to 507 of the family's 1533-position model. The record is from RNAcentral.
GAUGAACGCUGGCGGCGUGCCUAAUACAUGCAAGUCGAGCGAACAGACGAGGAGCUUGCUCCUCUGACGUUAGCGGCGGACGGGUGAGUAACACGUGGAUAACCUACCUAUAAGACUGGGAUAACUUCGGGAAACCGGAGCUAAUACCGGAUAAUAUAUUGAACCGCAUGGUUCAAUAGUGAAAGACGGUUUUGCUGUCACUUAUAGAUGGAUCCGCGCCGCAUUAGCUAGUUGGUAAGGUAACGGCUUACCAAGGCAACGAUGCGUAGCCGACCUGAGAGGGUGAUCGGCCACACUGGACCUGAGACACGGUCCAGACUCCUACGGGGGCAGCAGUAGGGAAUCUUCCGCAAUGGGCGAAAGCCUGACGGAGCAACGCCGCGUGAGUGAUGAAGGUCUUCGGAUCGUAAAACUCUGUUAUUAGGGAAGAACAAAUGUGUAAGUAACUAUGCACGUCUUGACGGUACCUAAUCAGAAAGCCACGGCUAACUACGUG